RNAcentral lists this long non-coding RNA (1897 nucleotides) under Gallus gallus (chicken). Its description in RNAcentral is "lncRNA (ENSGALG00010013919.1)". Lineage: Eukaryota; Metazoa; Chordata; Aves; Galliformes; Phasianidae. The record is from RNAcentral.
AGACUUUUCACUUCUGUUAUGCAUACACUUGAUGGUACAGAAAAAAGUGAAAAAAAUAUUUGAACUGAAAGAAAAAAUAGCAGGUUACAUGUGACAAAGAGUCUUAAAUUAUAAUUUUAAAUAAUAUGCAUUAAACUCCUGAGGGAAAAUAGAAAAACUGAGACCACAAAUUCAGCAAAGGAGUUAUGUUUUAAUUUUAGUAUAGUCAUUUCCAAAGCCCUUCUUUAACUUGGAAGUAUAUGCAUAGAGUUUUUUGCUCUUUAAAUCUUAUUUGUGCUGAAAGUAAAAUAAUGAACACUGGAAUCUAUUAAAAAAUGUAAUGUUUAUACAGUACUUUUUUGAAAAAGUACUGUACAGAACAGAAAUUUUAAACAGAAAUUCUAAACAGAAUUUCUAAAGAACAGAACAGAAAUUCUAAAGAAAACCCCUGGUUAUACCCAAAUGUUCCCUUCCCCCUCCAGUCUUGGAACAUAUUACUCAAGUUGUUUUCCUCUUUUUUCUAAUUUUUGUCUGCACUUUCAACCUCCUGACUGGAAAAGAAUCUGAAUACUCUCAUGAAAUAAUGAAAAAAAAAAAGGAGUUUUAAUACUUCAACUUCGAAGAAUGAGGAAACAAGGAAAAGCCUAAGGACACUGUGGAACCAGUCAUGCUGCCUGUGCACCCAGCAGCUCCAUCUAUACACAUCACCGAAUAAGAGGGUGACAACCCUAGUAAGAAAAUGGCUACCAUACUAUGGAUAUGAUUUAUCUGAAAUUAAAAUGAAGAAAGUAAUGUCUUCUUAGAAAAUGAAAUAUCAAAGGCAAGCCUGGAAUAUCUAUAUACAAUAUUCAGCAAGUUUUAUAAGCAUUGAGGAGUCUACUUAGUAUGAAGAAAUGAGUACAGAACUUCUUUAAAAAAAAAUUAACAAUAGGGGCAAACUUAACUAGAGUGCUGUGCUUUGGUGAGAUCUCUGCAGAGAUUCGGAUAUGAUGGGUGGGAUGUGCCAGAGAACAACAUCAGUCUGUUACCCUCUGAUGAAAGUGCUCUCCUGGCUCCUGGGAAUCUUCAGAGAGCAACAGAACUUGGUUCUGUUGCACAAAUGCUCUGACCAUUGAGUACUUGAAUAACCAUUGCAUUACAAAAUAAAUGGGUGUAUCUGGUGUGACUGAUGGAUUUGAGUGCCUUGACUUGAAGGCGUAGAGCACAAGACUGCAUUGCCCUCAUUACUCUGAUAAAAGCUGAGGUGGCAGAAAGCGUGGGGUAGAGUCUUUCAUCCUAACAUAAAAAGUCCAUCUUUCACUGAGAAUGCCCACUAUUGUCUUCAAGACUGAAGUUCAACUUCUGCAAGGAAGAACUAUGACCAGGAGCUCCUGUGAUGUGACUGCCUUCAUUUGUCACGGUGGGAGAUUGGUAACCAACAGUGGAAAAGUAUUCUGUCAAAGGAGUACCUUUAUGGAGAGGAAUAUGAGCCUGGGGAAGGUACAGUGUCACCACUUCCAAGACAGAACUCUGCAUGCUUGCUUUCCUUUAUUUUUCCUCUGUAAGAAUGACACUUUAUUUAUUCCUUGUGCUGUAUAUUUAUAAUGAGGUCCCGUGGCUUACCACAGUCAUCCUUUCUCUCGGCUAUAAGGAAUUAGUUCUGCUGUUGUGUAACUGUUAGGCCAAACAUCUCUGUAAAUUAGUACUCUGAAGAUGAUGGCAGUUGAAUUUGCUUACAAGUCUGAAAACAAUGUAUUUUUCUCAGUGUAUUUCUAAAUAUGGGAUUUGUCAGGCACUGAGAUCUGAAAAUAUACUCUAUCUAUAGUGCUUUAUACAAUGAUUCUGUUACACUACUGUUACCAGCAUGUUAAAAGGAGCUGCCUGAUUUGAAGCACAGAUGUUUUGAUUCAGUGUAUUUAUGUCUACAAAGUGUCCUGGG